RNAcentral lists this long non-coding RNA (666 nucleotides) under Neogale vison (American mink). RNAcentral's name for it is "Neovison vison (American mink) lncRNA (ENSNVIG00000006584.1)". The record is from RNAcentral. Lineage: Eukaryota; Metazoa; Chordata; Mammalia; Carnivora; Mustelidae.
AAAGAAAAUGACUUUUAGUUGUUAUCCAUUCUCUUAGUAGUUGUUCACUGGACUGCAUCUAUUCUAGCCAAGAAGAUACUUCUUUAAAUAAAUUAUUAAAAAAAUAGGGGAUCAUCUUUCUUGUGAACUAUUGAUUUUCUUUCACAGAAAAGGAUAACCCCCCACUUAGCAAGGCCGGGCAGGAUGCGAUCUUGUCACCACCUACAGACGGAGCGGUUUUGGAUGACGGCGAGAGCACGGAUGACCACGCCAUCGUCCAGUAUGAGUGGACACUGCUGCAGGGUUACCCGUCAGUGGACAUGAAGAGCUGCUCUCUCGCUUUCCUACAAUUUCUCCAUCACAUCUCAGCCCAGGCCUGGACCAUCAUGGUGUGAGAUUCAAAGCCAGAUCACUGGAAACAAGUUUCUUUUGUAUGAUUGUGGGAGCAAGAAAAAAAUCAAAACUGUUGGUCCUCUGGGGAUGAAGCUGAAGAACACAGCAUUUUGGGGGACACAGAGGGAACCUCUGAAAGACCUGGGGGAAGAGCUCAGAAAGAAAGUACUGGACAUCAAAGCAGAGAUUUUGAUGAAGAGUGAUUCUCUCACCAUGCAGGGCAGCCUGAUGUCCCCGGCAGGGCCGAUGGACACACCAGAGGAUCCUGGUGGUUUGCCUUCAAUGGGCAGUUAA